AAAUUAUAUCUGCCGAAUUCCCGAUACAAAGGGAAGUGGGGGAACCGUCUUGGGUGAAUUGAUCUUGCAUUAGAGGGAUCAUAGGGAACCUUCAACCGAAUCCUUAAGCUAACCUCGCAGGCACCGGAAGGAGUUACU
Molecule: small RNA, 138 nt
Filed under: Paenibacillus sp.
Lineage: Bacteria; Bacillati; Bacillota; Bacilli; Caryophanales; Paenibacillaceae
Also listed under: 1 other name
Description: c-di-AMP sequence
Rfam family: c-di-AMP riboswitch aptamer (ydaO/yuaA leader)
About the family: This family represents a conserved RNA structure found upstream of the ydaO and yuaA genes in Bacillus subtilis and related genes in other bacteria. The ydaO/yuaA element is thought to act as a genetic "off" switch for the ydaO and yuaA genes in its native state. It is believed that the element may be triggered during osmotic shock leading to activation of ydaO, a predicted amino acid transporter gene, and members of the yuaA-yubG operon which code for KtrA and KtrB K+ transporters.
Source: RNAcentral